CAAAUAGGAUGAGAGGAACACAUCUUUUUCUCUCAACCAAACUAAACUAGCCAAUCAGAAGUAGAAUGGGGCGGGUCUUUAAGUGUGGUUGAGAGAUCCAGCUGCAGGUACCGAGCGGAGACCGGAGAUGUCACGUAGCAAGGAAACGUAGUCCGCAGGAUGGAAAACAACAAACCAAAGGAUGAGGACUGCAGCAUUGCUUGGGCUGCCGUGAUACAUGCGAGAGACUCCAUCUAAAUUCAUGAAGAUAUGCGAGCCCAGUGACCAUGAAGAGGAUGUGAUCAAGGGCGUGGUGAUCGGAAUCCUAGUGGUUGUGGAAAAUGCGGAGCCUUUUCCAGAAUUCUACAAUGACGUUGCCCUGGUGAUUGAGGAAGAAGUGGUGAUGCAUCACCCUGAGUGACAUACCUAAUGCUUUUCUGAACCUGAUUGGCCUGGUGUACGCAUUAAACCUUGACUAUCCAAAGGAAUUAAAAUUCACUUUUGAAGUGAUACAGCGCCUGUUCAUUGGAGUUGGAUCACACUCUUGCACCGCAAGAGUUCACUCUUUGAAGAGCAAGUUGCUGAGAUAAGAAACUAUUUUCUUCUCCUUGUUACUAUAAGCAUUUACAGUGUUACACUGUUUUAAAGUUUAAGACCAUUGUUAUUUUAGAUAUUAUUGUUUUAAAGGGAUACUCCAUCGUUUUGUCAUAUUAAACUGUUAUUACCUUAAAGCAAUAGUUCACUUUGAAAUUAAAUUCUAAUGUUUUAGCUUACCUCAAGGGCAUCCAAGAUGUAGGUGUCUUUGUUUCCGUGGUAGUUUCACUUUUGAUGUUUUUAGGUCAAACUGUUGUUGUCUGUCAGUCAUAUAAUGCAGGUCUAUGGUCACUUGGUAAACAUAACCUCAAAGAGCAUUCACAGUGAAGUCCAAAUUAAACAACUGUCCAUCGUAAGUACACAUUGAUGGCCUUAGACACGAAACGAGCGGUUUGUGUGAGAAAACGAACACUAUUUACAUUGUUUUUGCCCCUUGUACACAACCGCGUCUGUGCUUAGUCUGCGCAUGCGCCGGAAGUGAUCUCGCACGUGUACGUCACUCAUUGUUUACACAGAACAGAGAUUGUAGGUAAGACAGCUAAUAGAAAUUGUACUAAUUUGUGCUUAUCCGGGAUGUUUAAACCGACAUGAAAGAAAACAAUUACGUAUGCUCGCGCGAACUCAUCCAGGAGAUCACUUCCGGCGCAUGCGCAGACUAAGCACAGACGUGGUUGGGUACAAGGGGCAAAAACAAUAUAAAUAGUGUUCGUUUUCUCACACAAACCGCUCGU
Non-coding RNA from Misgurnus anguillicaudatus (oriental weatherfish), 1304 nucleotides. The record is from RefSeq and is a predicted model, not a curated record. NCBI's taxonomy places the organism in Eukaryota, Metazoa, Chordata, Actinopteri, Cypriniformes, Cobitidae.